GACGAACGCUGGCGGCGUGCUUAACACAUGCAAGUCGAACGGGAUUUAGUAGACAGAGGCUUCGGUGGAAGAUUACUAAUGAGAGUGGCGAACGGGUGAGUAACGCGUGAGCAACCUGCCUAUGACAGUGGGAUAGCCUCGGGAAACCGGGAUUAAUACCGCAUAAAAUCGUAGAAACACAUGUUUUAACGGUCAAAGAUUUAUCGGUCAUAGAUGGGCUCGCGUCUGAUUAGCUAGUUGGUGAGAUAACAGCCACCAAGGCGACGAUCAGUAGCCGGUCUGAGAGGAUGAACGGCCACAUUGGAACUGAGACACGGUCCAAACUCCUACGGGAGGCAGCAGUGGGGAAUAUUGCACAAUGGGGGAAACCCUGAUGCAGCGACGCCGCGUGAACGAAGAAGGUAUUCGUAUCGUAAAGUUCUGUCCUAUGGGAAGAUAAUGACAGUACCAUAGAAGAAAGCUCCGGCUAAAUACGUGCCAGCAGCCGCGGUAAUACGUAUGGAGCGAGCGUUGUCCGGAAUUAUUGGGCGUAAAGGGUACGCAGGCGGUUUAAUAAGUCGAAUGUUAAAGAUCGGGGCUCAACCCCGUAAAGCAUUGGAAACUGAUAAACUUGAGUAGUGGAGAGGAAAGUGGAAUUCCUAGUGUAGUGGUGAAAUACGUAGAUAUUAGGAGGAAUACCAGUAGCGAAGGCGACUUUCUGGACACAAACUGACGCUGAGGUACGAAAGCGUGGGGAGCAAACAGG
This 745-nucleotide ribosomal RNA is filed under the name uncultured Finegoldia sp. RNAcentral's name for it is "bacterial SSU rRNA". It matches the Rfam family "Bacterial small subunit ribosomal RNA", at positions 28 to 776 of the family's 1533-position model. Lineage: Bacteria; Bacillati; Bacillota; Tissierellia; Tissierellales; Peptoniphilaceae. The record is from RNAcentral.